GGUGUUCAUUCCAUAAAAAAAAAAACCAUUUCUUUGCACACUUCAAAUAUCACAGAAAACAGGAGAGACAAACCCCUGCCUUAGAAAGACAGAAGUGAACACACGGAAUGUGGCCUUGGAAGCAAGUAAAAGUUAUGAAGCACGUAGACCCUAAGGUAUGCAACUGGAUUGCCAGCUUGAGUUGUUUGCUAUGUGUCAUGAAUAUUAAAAGACGGAGGCUGAAG
Molecule: long non-coding RNA, 224 nt
Filed under: Mus spicilegus (steppe mouse)
Lineage: Eukaryota; Metazoa; Chordata; Mammalia; Rodentia; Muridae
Description: lncRNA (ENSMSIG00000030884.1)
Source: RNAcentral